GUCGAAAUACAGGCAGAUGAACUACCACACUGCAUAAGGCGGCUCCUCGCCACCAUACUGCCACCGGCGGUCGGCCGGAAGAUCGCACUAGACGGCUUAUACCGACUCCCACCUACUCCCGCCGCACAAACCAGGGAUGUCAUUCUGCGCUGUGCCACCUCCCAGGACUGGGACCACAUUAUGGCUGCCACCUGAGGCAAAACCCCUCUUACCUUCAAAAAAGGCCAAUUAUCAUUUUUACAGGACUUAACUUGAGCCACAUUACAAUGGCGCAGGUCACUGAACCAACUCACAAGCCACCUACGCACACCUUGAAUUCCGUACCGCUGGGGAGCAAUGAGAACCCUGUCAAUCACCCACAAGAUAUCCUCAGAUACUGAGAUACCUGCACUUCUGGACAAAAUGGGACUACCGGACUUACCAACAAUCCUCAACGGGCACAACCUAGGGUAUGGAACCCGGACACCACAGCACCAUUCAUACCAAGACAGACCACCUCUGCAAGCCCAAUGAACUGACCGGGAUCGGCUAAGCCCACAAUCUGGGCCAUACCCAGGGAUCCUAAAUGACUGGAUGGCACUGACGGCAACCAAAGAAAGUGCACUCUAAUUUUUCCUAUUGUUUCUCUCUUUUCUUUCUUUUCCUUUAUCAUACUGUAUUACCUGUUAUGAC
Non-coding RNA from Pelobates cultripes (western spadefoot toad), 672 nucleotides. NCBI's taxonomy places the organism in Eukaryota, Metazoa, Chordata, Amphibia, Anura, Pelobatidae. The record is from the annotation of a GenBank genome assembly.